AUUUGUCUUCAUCCACAUACUCAUAUUGGAUACUGAGUUUGCCCAUAAAAAAGCGUGCUCUAACAGAAUCAUAGAAUUUCUAUGUUGGAAAAGUUCUUAGAAGUCCAAUCUCCUUCCAGCUUUUUUCCAUGUUACAUAGAAUGUGCUUGCUUCUGCUUCCCCUUCCAACUCCUCCACCUGUUCCAUCUCUGGCACCACUGACAUGGCAAGACCAACUCUGCCUCUUCCUCCUCUGUAGCCUACUUAAUGUGAAGAAUACAAGAAUGAAGACUUUUAUGAUGAUCCACUUCCACAUAGUGGGAGAACUGAAGCUUGGAGAUGUGAAGUGACUUGUCCAGAUGAUUGGCCCUUAAAUCCGCAUGGCCUGACUCCCAAGCAGAUGUGGUCUCUAAGGUACAUGGUGCAGUAGUUUUUGAUCCAUGUUGAUUCCCUUUUCUUCUGCAUCCUUUGGUUCAGAUGCUCAGUGUUAAAUAGACAAUUUUCUAAAUGAAACUAUGAUUUUGGCUUCACAUUUGGGAAGAAACUAUCUUCCUUCCUUUGCUCACUUCUUGCCCUCCUGCCUUUCUUCUUUCCUCAAUCCCUUCCAACAAAAACAUAUUGAACCCCCGCCACCUCCUAUGUGCCAACUCUGUGCUGAGUGCUUGGGAUGGAGCAGUGACUAGGACAUAUGAUGUCCCUAUCAUCAUGGAUCUUCCCUCUAGCAGAAAGAACGGACUAACAUUUCUAAAUCAUAACAGAAAAUGACGAAACAGAGAAAUGCAAGGGAAUGGAAAAGUUGAGAGGAUCUAGAAGGAUAGGUUAUGGAAAUUGCCCUCAGACAAUGACAUCAAAGCUGAAAUUCAGUUAGAACUCAGUCAUGAGAAGGCGGGGGGAGUGUGCAGAUGGAGGGAAUUCCUAGAAGAAACAACAGGUACAAAUGCUCAGAAGUAUAAGAGGACAAGCUGACUUGAGUCACUGAGAGCGGUUUAUUAUGACUAGAGGAUAAAUUGGUUGUAAAUUGGCCAGUAAAGUAGGCAGUGGCCAGAUCUCCAAGGGGUUAAGGCACUGAGUUAAGAGGCUGUUAUGCUAAUACAGGUGAAAUUUGACAGUUGCUAUGGGAAAGGAUAGGACUUUUUCAAGCUUUAAUGUGUAAACAAAUUACACCUAGAGAUCUUGUUAAAAUGCAGAUUCUGAUUCAAUAGGUAUGGGAUGGAGACUGAAAUUCUGACUUUCUAACAAGCUCUCAGGUGAUACCCAAGAUGUGGUCCACAAACCACACUUGAAUAACAAGGUCUAGACCUGUGCUGUCCAAUGUGGUCACCACUAGCUGCAUGUGGCUAAUCGAGCGAUUGAUAUGUAGUUGGUUCAAAUUGAAAUGUAAUGUGAGUGUAAAGUACACAUUUGAUUCUGAAGACCUAAAUAGAAAAAAAAAAUGUAAAAAUGUCUCAUUAGUUUUUAAUUGUUUGUAUGUUGAAAUGAUACUAUUUUGGAUAUAUUGGAUUAAAUACAAUAUAGCAUUAAAAUGAAGUUAACCUGUUUUCACUUUUUGAAUACGCCCACAAAAUUAAAUCACAUCUAUUGAUUAUGUGCUUACCUGUAUAUUGGUUUAAAUGAAAUAUAUUAUUAUAAUUAAUUCUACAUGCUUGUUUCUACUUUUUAAAAUGUGGAUGCUAGAAAAUGUAAAAUUGCAUAUGUAGCUCUCAUUAUCUUUCUACCAAAUCGCCCUUCCUUGAACUGUCUCUCUGCCACGGUUAAUUUGCUCACUGUUUCUUUAAGACAGGGCACUUUCCUACUCUGAAACCUAUGUUCACUGCUUCCCCUUCUUAGAAUGACCUCCUAGCUAUUAAUACUAGUCAACUAAUUCAUCAGAAAAUGUUGGUUUGCCUGGAGCAGGGGUUCCUAACAUUUGAAUCACCAGAGGAACUGGUGACCUAACCCUAAUUGGUUCUGCUUUAAAUACUUUACCUGCAGUGACUCUAAUGUGUAUUCAAGGUUGAAGAUACUAAAAAGGAAUUUAGACUUAAUCCAACCCUAUUUUUUAAAUGACUAAACCAAGUCUCAAAGUCAGACUCAUUUAGGGUCACAAAAAAAUCAACCCAGGUUCCUGGAUUCUUAUCAUUUCUCAAUCUCUUCUUUGCAGCCUACUCAAAUGUCGUUCAUACAGGCUUACCAUUGUGCUCCUCCUUCAAUGUUAUUUGCGUUUAAUUGUCUUGAUCACACCUGGAAGGACUCUGUCAGCUGUAAGCCUGUGGGUACCCCAAAAAAGCGGAAAAAGUCGUCCUUCUAGGACUAGCACCUCUGAGAUAUACUAGGGGACCGAGACCAUAUUCCAAAGUUGUAAAGGUUCACAUGGUGCUAAACU
Papio anubis (olive baboon) is the source of this 2341-nucleotide long non-coding RNA. NCBI's taxonomy places the organism in Eukaryota, Metazoa, Chordata, Mammalia, Primates, Cercopithecidae. The record is from Ensembl.